This 273-nucleotide unclassified non-coding RNA is filed under the name uncultured fungus. Its description in RNAcentral is "sequence contains ITS1, 5.8S rRNA gene". The stretch from base 225 to 273 matches the Rfam family "5.8S ribosomal RNA", at positions 1 to 49 of the family's 154-position model. Lineage: Eukaryota; Fungi. The record is from RNAcentral.
UUUCCGUAGGUGAACCUGCGGAAGGAUCAUUAUUGAACGAAUGUAGAGUCGGUUGUAGCUGGUCUCCUAGAGACAUGUGCACGCCUUCUCUUUCAUCCACACACCCCUGUGCACUUGUUAGACAGAGGCUUGUUUCCUUUGAUUAGGAGGUAGUCUCUGUCUUCCCUCACAUAAAACCAUAUUUAUUUAAAUCUGAAUGUAAUUGAUGUAACGCAUCUAAUACAAAGUUUCAACAACGGAUCUCUUGGCUCUCGCAUCGAUGAAGAACGCAGC